UCGGAGGUACGAGGCAGUCCUAAGCAGCUUGCUUGAAUAUUCAUGAACGCGAGGGGCAGAAAGCGGAAGUUCACGUGUGAUCGGGAUAUGAUGAGAUGGGGCCAGGUGGGACAUCUUCUCUGUUCUAUUGUUGGAGCUGUGAAGAGGUAUGUGUGUGUGGGGGGGGAGGAGGGUUUGUCAAUACCAGAGGUUGAACCCAGAGUCUCACAGAUGUUAUUCACAAACCACACUGCACUCCCAUUUCCAAAAUGUAGGAUACCAAGCAGGUGCUCUACCACUGAGCUAUAGGCAUGCCCUGUGCUAUAACACUGAACCACACACCCAGACUUUACCAAAGCACCUGUCUAGAAUCCUCCAGUGAGGGGCUGGUUGUGGCUCAGUGUUAGAGCACCUGCCUAGAAUCCCCCAGUGAGGGGCUGGGGGCGUGGCUCAAUGGUAGAGUCCCUGCCUAGAAUCCCCCAGGGAGGGGCUGGGGGCGUGGUUCAGUGGUAGAGCCCCUGCCUAGAAUCCCCCAGUGAGGGGCUGGGGUGUGGCCCAGUGGUAGAGCCCCUGCCUAGAAUCCCCCAGUGAGGAG
This 574-nucleotide long non-coding RNA is filed under the name Mus musculus (house mouse). RNAcentral's name for it is "lincRNA-EC112". Lineage: Eukaryota; Metazoa; Chordata; Mammalia; Rodentia; Muridae. The record is from RNAcentral.